UGCCAGCAGCCGCGGUAAUACGGAGGGUGCAAGCGUUGUCCGGAUUUAUUGGGUUUAAAGGGUACGUAGGUGGCCUUAUAAGUCAGUGGUGAAAUGCUGCAGCUUAACUGUAGCACUGCCAUUGAUACUGUAAGGCUUGAGUGUCGUUGAGGCAGGCGGAAUUUAUGGUGUAGCGGUGAAAUGCAUAGAUACCAUAAAGAACACCGAUAGCGAAGGCAGCUUGCUAAGCGACAACUGACACUAAUGUACGAAAGCGUGGGUAGCGAACAGGAUUAGAUA
RNAcentral lists this ribosomal RNA (279 nucleotides) under uncultured bacterium. RNAcentral's name for it is "partial 16S ribosomal RNA". It matches the Rfam family "Bacterial small subunit ribosomal RNA", at positions 506 to 784 of the family's 1533-position model. The record is from RNAcentral.